CAAGGAAGCAUCCAAAGGGAUCGCAUUGAUCCAUUUUUUGCAAGAGAAAAAUCUCGAAACAGGAUCAUGCGAUCCUUUUGGAUCCCUCCUU
Molecule: microRNA precursor, 91 nt
Organism: Ananas comosus (pineapple)
Lineage: Eukaryota; Viridiplantae; Streptophyta; Magnoliopsida; Poales; Bromeliaceae
Rfam family: mir-393 microRNA precursor family
Source: Rfam